This 475-nucleotide ribosomal RNA is filed under the name uncultured Methanosaeta sp. Its description in RNAcentral is "bacterial SSU rRNA". It matches the Rfam family "Archaeal small subunit ribosomal RNA", at positions 871 to 1337 of the family's 1478-position model. Lineage: Archaea; Methanobacteriati; Methanobacteriota; Methanomicrobia; Methanotrichales; Methanotrichaceae. The record is from RNAcentral.
UUGACGGGGAGCACCACAACGGGUGGAGCUUGCGGUUUAAUUGGAUUCAACGCCGGAAAUCUUACCGGGACCGACAGCAAUAUGAAGGCCAGGCUGAAGACUUUGCCGGAUUAGCUGAGAGGGUGGUGCAUGGCCGUCGUCAGUUCGUACUGUGAAGCAUCCUGUUAAGUCAGGCAACGAGCGAGACCCACGCCCACAGUUGCCAGCGUACUCUCUGGAGUGACGGGUACACUGUGGGGACCGCCGCUGCUAAAGCGGAGGAAGGAAUGGGCAACGGUAGGUCAGUAUGCCCCGAAUAUCCCGGGCUACACGCGAGCUACAAUGGUUGGUACAAUGGGUAUCUACCCCGAAAGGGGACCGGGAAUCUCCUAAAACCAAUCUUAGUUCGGAUUGAGGGCUGCAACUCGCCCUCAUGAAGCUGGAAUCCGUAGUAAUCGCGUUUCAACAGAACGCGGUGAAUACGUCCCUGCUCCUU